CCUACGGGAGGCAGCAGUGAGGAAUAUUGGUCAAUGGCCGGGAGGCUGAACCAGCCAAGUCGCGUGAGGGAAGACGGCCCUACGGGUUGUAAACCUCUUUUGUCAGGGAGCAAGGUGCAGGUCGGGACCUGCUGUGAGCGUACCUGAAGAAAAAGCAUCGGCUAACUCCGUGCCAGCAGCCGCGGUAAUACGGAGGAUGCGAGCGUUAUCCGGAUUUAUUGGGUUUAAAGGGUGCGCAGGCGGAGGCACAAGUCAGCGGUAAAAUCGCGGGGCUCAACCCCGCUCCGCCGUUGAAACUGUGGCCCUUGAGUGCGCGAAGGGUAGGCGGAAUGCGUGGUGUAGCGGUGAAAUGCAUAGAUAUCACGCAGAACUCCGAUCGCGAAGGCAGCCUACCGGCGCGCAACUGACGCUCAUGCACGAAAGCGUGGGUAUCGAACAGGAUUAGAUACCCUGGUAGUC
Molecule: ribosomal RNA, 459 nt
Filed under: uncultured bacterium
Lineage: Bacteria
Description: partial 16S ribosomal RNA
Rfam family: Bacterial small subunit ribosomal RNA
Source: RNAcentral